GGGGAAUAUUGGACAAUGGGCGCAAGCCUGAUCCAGCCAUACCGCGUGGGUGAAGAAGGCCUUCGGGUUGUAAAGCCCUUUUGUUGGGAAAGAAAUCCAGCUGGCUAAUACCCGGUUGGGAUGACGGUACCCAAAGAAUAAGCACCGGCUAACUUCGUGCCAGCAGCCGCGGUAAUACAGAGGGUGCAAGCGUUAAUCGGAAUUACUGGGCGUAAAGCGUGCGUAGUCGGUUAUCUAAGUCGGGUGUGAAAUCCCCGGGCUCAACCUGGGAAUUGCAUUCGAUACUGGAUAGCUAGAGUUCGGCAGAGGGAAGUGGAAUUUCCGGUGUAGCGGUGAAAUGCGUAGAUAUCGGAAGGAACAUCAGUGGCGAAAGCGACUUCCUGGACCAGAACUGACGAUCAGGCACGAAAGCGUGGGGAGCAAACA
RNAcentral lists this ribosomal RNA (426 nucleotides) under uncultured Gammaproteobacteria bacterium. RNAcentral's name for it is "bacterial SSU rRNA". It matches the Rfam family "Bacterial small subunit ribosomal RNA", at positions 356 to 774 of the family's 1533-position model. The record is from RNAcentral. Lineage: Bacteria; Pseudomonadati; Pseudomonadota; Gammaproteobacteria.